Long non-coding RNA from Hemicordylus capensis (graceful crag lizard), 555 nucleotides. RefSeq lists it as uncharacterized. The record is from RefSeq and is a predicted model, not a curated record. Lineage: Eukaryota; Metazoa; Chordata; Lepidosauria; Squamata; Cordylidae. The transcript is spliced from 4 exons.
GGCAGGAGGCCUGCUUGGCUCACCCACCACCUCCCCGGCCAGGCACGUGGUGGCUAAUAUUACAGAAAAGCCACGGUUCAGUGUGGUGGGGCGGUGGCAGAGCAGGGAGCAGGGUGGCAGCUGGAGCCCCCACCCAGUCAUUUGGAGCCCCCCUCCGACCUUGGAGGCCACAGACUGGGGCCUCAAGGUCCAAGGGCUCUCUCUAAGUAAGAAGUAAGUAAAAGGAUUGGCAUCUCUGCAUUCCUGAUAGUAUCAACAUGUCCUCUAUUGGUUUUGCCUCUUCAUUAAAUGCAGUGCUAUAAUCACACUACUGCAGAAAUAGCAACAGGAACAUCCUGUCCCCAUGUAAUGGAAGGAGCAGUAAGUUAAGCAAGACCAGGGAAACCAACCAAAGAAGCAGGAUUCGGGGGACAUAAAUACUCAGGAAAGGACAGUAAGAGUGCACCUGCAGUGAUAGAAAAAGAGAAGUGGUGGUGGUGGUGCAGUCUUAAGCAAGCACACAGCAAGAGCUCAAGAUCAGAGAAGGAAGUUAAGACUUAAAUUACUGUUCUAAAC